GACAGAGGUCCCGAGCGUUAGGCGGAAUCACUGGGCUUAAAGCGUGUGUAGGCGGAUUUGUAAGUACCUUGUGAAAUCCCUCGGCUCAACCGGGGAACUGCGUCUGAUACUGGGUGGCUUGAAUUCGGGAGAGGGAUGCGGAAUUCCAGGUGUAGCGGUGAAAUGCGUAGAUAUCUGGAGGAACACCGGUGGCGAAGGCGGCAUCCUGGACCGAGAUUGACGCUGAGGCGCGAAAGCUAGGGUAGCAAACGGG
This 253-nucleotide ribosomal RNA is filed under the name uncultured bacterium. RNAcentral's name for it is "partial 16S ribosomal RNA". It matches the Rfam family "Bacterial small subunit ribosomal RNA", at positions 524 to 776 of the family's 1533-position model. The record is from RNAcentral.